CUAGUUUUUAACAGGGGAGAAGGAAAAUAAGAGAUGUAUUAAAAAAAAUCUGAAAAAAAUAUUAAUUCAGUAUGAUUUUACAGCAAACAAAGUAGUGGCUUUUUUGGCCACUGAGGGGCACUAAAUGGAAGUUGUUUUGAGGAUAUAUAUAUAUACAUAAGAAUAAUAUAUAACAUAUGUUAAUAUAAUAUAUUCUUUCUCUCUCAGCCAUCACCUGCGGAGCCCUGGGUUGCUGGCUUGCUGAGCCCUUUCUUUCGGUAGGUAGUGUUACAUUUAAAAUACUAAUUUAAGUGGCAUGUUUCCAUGACAGAUUUAUUGAUUUAUUUGUUUGUUUUGCAGUGCCCAGCCCGUCCUCACCGCUGCCCCUGAUACCAGGCUGCUGUGUUGGCUGUUUUGCCAUAAUUUGAGUUUCUUUAUUUUAAGUCUUUAAAGUUUACUCUUUCCUUUUGUAAACUCUUUGCUUGAGUCUUUGUUUUUGCUCUUUUGUUAAGUUCUGGUUUUCUUACUUAAUUUCUCCCUAGGAAUACAGGUGCCUUUAGAUAGCUAACCCUGAUGAUAAUAUUAAUAAAAAAAAAACAAGACCAAACGACAAAAAUCUUUGCAUGGGUGACCAGUGUGUGUUUUAAGCUUGAGGUUUCAAUAUUGUAGUUGCUGUGAUUCUUGAUGAACAAAGGUAUCACAAUUUCAGUGGUUUCUAAUAUUCUUCCGCCCAAUCAUUAAAGGCUCUUCACAUGGUGGUUAGACUGAGGCUAACACCCCAUUACUCACUGGAUUCAAACUCCAGCAGCCCUGGACCCACAUUCACCUCUUUUCUUUUCUAAGUGUCAUAAAAUUUGUCAUGGCUCCUUAAGCCAAGUCCUGUGUUGUGGGCUUUAAAGACAGACCUUGAAAUUUGAUUUCAAAGUAUGAUACAGGACUGUUAAUAACUUAGUUCACACAGCUCGUUUUAACCAAGUCCUGUGUUUUGAGCAUUUUGAAGACAAACCUUCAGCAGAACUUGUUUGACACUGUAAUGCUUAGAUCACUGCUGUCCAAAAUAUUAGCCCAAGACUAAGCACAUGUGAAAAACCUUCAGUGUACCUACCAGCUGAAACCCAAAGUACAUAUUUUGUUUCUAAAAACAUGUCGUCUCUUGUAGGUAAAUUGGGGAAAUACGGUAAGCAUAUUAUAACAUGAGGAAAGUUUAGCUGCCUGCAACAACUGAAGGAACAGUUUUUUUUCCCUUCAUCAUUGUCAGUCAUCUUUUGAUAUGAGGACAGAUACA
This 1264-nucleotide long non-coding RNA is filed under the name Xyrichtys novacula (pearly razorfish). The record is from RNAcentral. Lineage: Eukaryota; Metazoa; Chordata; Actinopteri; Labriformes; Labridae.